GCGGCUUGAAUAUGCCAACAGGGCUCCCAUUGUGGUUCGAAUAAGCCUACAGGGCCAAACUAGGAAACUAGGGACUCAAAAUAUUGUGUGGCUAAAACAAGCUCACCAAAUUAGGGUAAAUGACUAGACCAUAGCAAGGCGUGAAAGAUUGGAAGCCCCACUCCGAGUGCUCUACAGUUUCCAAAAAUCAUCAUUUGGUUAGGUUAGGGCAAACACAAUGCUUAAACAUGCAUUAUAAAUGUUCAAGGUGCGCUGGCAACAUUGUCCCUUUAAUAUAACUUUUUUCUUCUUUAUUUUCCUAGGUUCCCUUUGGUGGGGAUGCCCCUGUCCCGAAACAGAGAUGGUGUUCAUGAGUAAUGUUAGCACCACAAAGUAGCAAUGGCGCUGUAAUAAGUCUAUAAUAAACUGAUCUAUGUUUUAUUGUAGGUUCCCCCGACGAGGAUGGCGAUAACGACAGAGAUCUUCCAUGGUAAAAAGUGGCACCCUCUAGAGGGCUAUCCUAUUUUCCUGGGUUUUUAUUUUAGGUACCCACAACGGAGACGGUGAAGGUGAAGACCCUGGACGGUGACAGUGGCGUUCUCUAGUGGCCCUUCUCCCAUAUCCUGGGUAGGGGGCGAUUAGAUGAUGAAGGACCGAGGAGAAUCCCAGAUACCAGGACAGCCCGGAGGAACAGCAGGAGGAGCGACAAAGCCAACAGGUAGGUAUUUGCCCUUGAACUUGACUUUAACUUGCCUUUUCUCUCUUACUUAGGUUUCCAAGCGUUGGAUCCCCUACAAGGCUACAAGAAUAUGGCACCCCACUGUGGCAUCG
Long non-coding RNA from Paramormyrops kingsleyae, 810 nucleotides. RefSeq lists it as uncharacterized. Lineage: Eukaryota; Metazoa; Chordata; Actinopteri; Osteoglossiformes; Mormyridae. The record is from RefSeq and is a predicted model, not a curated record.